RNAcentral lists this ribosomal RNA (463 nucleotides) under bacterium BCM57. RNAcentral describes it as "bacterial SSU rRNA". It matches the Rfam family "Bacterial small subunit ribosomal RNA", at positions 58 to 512 of the family's 1533-position model. The record is from RNAcentral.
CAAGUCGAACGGUAGCACAGAGAGCUUGCUCUCGGGUGACGAGUGGCGGACGGGUGAGUAAUGUCUGGGAAACUGCCUGAUGGAGGGGGAUAACUACUGGAAACGGUAGCUAAUACCGCAUAACGUCGCAAGACCAAAGAGGGGGACCUUCGGGCCUCUUGCCAUCAGAUGUGCCCAGAUGGGAUUAGCUAGUAGGUGGGGUAACGGCUCACCUAGGCGACGAUCCCUAGCUGGUCUGAGAGGAUGACCAGCCACACUGGAACUGAGACACGGUCCAGACUCCUACGGGAGGCAGCAGUGGGGAAUAUUGCACAAUGGGCGCAAGCCUGAUGCAGCCAUGCCGCGUGUAUGAAGAAGGCCUUCGGGUUGUAAAGUACUUUCAGCGGGGAGGAAGGCGAUGAGGUUAAUAACCUCGUCGAUUGACGUUACCCGCAGAAGAAGCACCGGCUAACUCCGUGCCAGC